Molecule: ribosomal RNA, 254 nt
Filed under: uncultured bacterium
Lineage: Bacteria
Description: partial 16S ribosomal RNA
Rfam family: Bacterial small subunit ribosomal RNA
Source: RNAcentral
UACGGUAGGGGGCAAGCGUUGUCCGGAUUUAUUGGGCGUAAAGAGCUCGUAGGCGGCUUGUCGCGUCGUCCGUGAAAACCAGGGGCUCAACCCCUGGCUUGCGGUCGAUACGGGCAGGCUAGAGUUCGGUAGGGGAGACUGGAAUUCCUGGUGUAGCGGUGAAAUGCGCAGAUAUCAGGAGGAACACCGGUGGCGAAGGCGGGUCUCUGGGCCGAUACUGACGCUGAGGAGCGAAAGCGUGGGGAGCGAACAGG